Pongo abelii (Sumatran orangutan) is the source of this 148-nucleotide unclassified non-coding RNA. It matches the Rfam family "Metazoan signal recognition particle RNA". Rfam says of the family: The signal recognition particle (SRP) is a universally conserved ribonucleoprotein. It is involved in the co-translational targeting of proteins to membranes. The eukaryotic SRP consists of a 300-nucleotide 7S RNA and six proteins: SRPs 72, 68, 54, 19, 14, and 9. NCBI's taxonomy places the organism in Eukaryota, Metazoa, Chordata, Mammalia, Primates, Hominidae. The record is from Ensembl.
GCUGGGUGUGAUGGCACACGCCUGUAGUCCUAGAUACUUGGGAGGCUGAGGCGGGAGGAUUGCUUGAGCCCAGGAGUUUGAGGCUGCAGUGAACUGUAAUCACUUCAGUGCACUACAGCCUGGGCAACAGAGCAAGACCCUGUUUAUU